GGUAGCGAAAUUCCUUGUCGGGUAAGUUCCGACCCGCACGAAUGGCGUAACGAUCUGGGCACUGUCUCAACGAGGGACUCAGCGAAAUUGUAAUGGCGGUGAAGAUGCCGUCUACCCGCGACAAGACGGAAAGACCCCGUGCACCUUUACUACAACUUGACAUUGGAUUUUGGGAUAUUAUGUGCAGGAUAGGUGGGAGGCGAUGAACUGGUGGCGCUAGCAACCAGGGAGCCAUCCUUGAGAUACCACCCUUAGUGUUUUAGGGUUCUAACCUUACCCCGUGAAUCCGGGGCAGGGACAGUGUCUGGUGGGUAGUUUGACUGGGGCGGUUGCCUCCUAAAAUGUAACGGAGGCGCCCGAAGGUUCCCUCAGCACGGUUGGCAAUCGUGCGUAGAGUGUAAAGGCAUAAGGGAGCUUGACUGCGAGACCUACAAGUCGAGCAGGUGCGAAAGCAGGGCUUAAUGAUCCGGUGGUUCUGUGUGGAAGGGCCAUCGCUCAACGGACAAAAGGUACGCCGGGGAUAACAGGCUUAUUUUGCCCAAGAGUUCAUAUCGACGGCAAAGUUUGGCACCUCGAUGUCGGCUCGUCGCAUCCUGGGGCUGAAGCAGGUCCCAAGGGUUUGGCUGUUCGCCAAUUAAAGCGGUACGCGAGCUGGGUUUAGAACGUCGUGAGACAGUUCGGUCCCUAUCUGUCGUGGGUGUAGGAUAUUUGAGAGGAGCUGCCUCUAGUACGAGAGGACCGAGGUGGACGAACCUCUAGUGUACCAGUUAUCACGCCAGUGGUACUCGCUGGGUAGCUACGUUCGGAAGGGAUAACCGCUGAAAGCAUAUAAGCGGGAAGCCCCCCUCAAGAUUGGAUAUCCCACAGGGUAACACCUGUCUGAAGGCCCCUGGAAGACUACCAGGUAGAUAGGCUGGAGGUGGAAGCGCAGUAAUGUGUGUAGCUGACCAGUACUAAUCGGCCGUGAGGCUUGACCAU
Molecule: ribosomal RNA, 978 nt
Filed under: bacterium
Lineage: Bacteria
Description: bacterial LSU rRNA
Rfam family: Bacterial large subunit ribosomal RNA
Source: RNAcentral